AUUCCUACGGGAGGCAGCAGUAGGGAGUAUUGCGCAAUGGACGAAAGUCUGACGCAGCAACGCCGCGUGAGCGAUGAAGGUCUUCGGAUCGUAAAGCUCUGUCAGAGGGGACGAACCGCUUCCGGUUGAAUAGGCCGGAGGUCUGACGGUACCCUCAGAGGAAGCACCGGCCAACUCCGUGCCAGCAGCCGCGGUAAUACGGAGGGUGCAAGCGUUGUUCGGAUUUACUGGGCGUAAAGCGCGUGCAGGCGGGUCGGUAAGUCCUGUGUGCAAUCUCCCGGCUCAACCGGGAAACUGCACGGGAAACUACUGAUCUUGAGUGCGAGAGAGGAUGGCGGAAUUCCUGGUGUAGCGGUGAAAUGCGUAGAUAUCAGGAGGAACACCGGUGGCGAAGGCGGCCAUCUGGCUCGACACUGACGCUGAGACGCGAAGGCCGGGGGAGCAAACAGGAUUAGAUACCCUGGUAGUCCCGGCAGUAAACGUUGGACACUAGGUGUGGGGAGUUCGACCCUUUCCGUGCCGCAGCUUACGCAUUAAGUGUCCCGCCUGGGGAGUACGGCCGCAAGGUUGAAACUCAAAGGAAUUGACGGAAU
This 593-nucleotide ribosomal RNA is filed under the name uncultured bacterium. RNAcentral's name for it is "bacterial SSU rRNA". It matches the Rfam family "Bacterial small subunit ribosomal RNA", at positions 335 to 919 of the family's 1533-position model. The record is from RNAcentral.